Molecule: long non-coding RNA, 1155 nt
Organism: Astyanax mexicanus (Mexican tetra)
Lineage: Eukaryota; Metazoa; Chordata; Actinopteri; Characiformes; Acestrorhamphidae
Exons: 4
Source: RefSeq, a predicted model, not a curated record
UCCUUUUUAAACCUAGGUAUACUGUACUUAAACCCAAUGUUUUUCUUUGUUCUGUGUAGAGACCUCCAGAGACCUUGCUAAUGCAUCAUCGUGCAGAGCUUCUGUAAUGUGCCAUCUCUCAAAAUAUUCGUCCCUCUUUUUAACACUUGUUCCGGUUGCUAGGAGACGAAAAGCCACGGAAACAAACGGGUCAAACGGGAGGAGUAGAACGCUGAGAUAUAUUUGGGCAGGCAGAGGAAACACAGUUUGCACAGGUGUACCACAGUACAGAUUCCUCAAGAUAACCCCCCUCCUUCCGCUGGAGCUUCACACAGUCUUGGCAUUCUCUCAAGCAGUUUCAUCAGCAGCCACCUGGGAUGCUUCUCCAGCAGACUUGAAAAAGAUACUCAGAGGCUUUCUAAGACCUUGCUGGCUGCUGAAAAGGAUGUCUUGGACGAUGUUUAAAAAAAGACGUGUUUUUCCCACUGAGAUAAACUCAUACCUAGACGUAAACAAUUGUCCAGAUUUUAAAAGGCUUGAGUCUUUGGGUCAAAAUUCAUUCAGACAGGUUGCUCAGGAUGGUUGCGAUGAAAUCUUAUGUGAAGUGAAAUUUUGAAAUUGAAAUCUUAUGUGAAUUACAACAUGGAACAGAACAUCCUUGCUAUUCAUGACUAUCUUAUGAGAAAUUGCUGUCAAAAUUUGAGGUAAGAUCAUUAAAUAUUAACUAACUCUGCUGUUUCUAAGCAUUAAGAAAGUCUCGCACCAAUGGGAGAUCCUUCAAAUGUAAUGAAUUUGACAAAAAAUGGUUCAAAUGUAACAACCACAGGGGUUGGACAAUGAAACUGAAACAUCUAAUAAUUGAUUGUGGUGACGGACAGUUCUGGUGGAAACAGGAGAGUUGAGGUGCACAUUGAAUUCUGCGUGAUUUGAUCAGCCGUGGUUUUAUGUUUUUUGGAUACAAUCCGGGUUAGCACCCGAACAUCCCUUUCAGACAGCUUCCUCUUACAGCGUCCACAGUUAAUCCUGUUGUGGUUGAUCCUUCUUGGUGGUAUCUCGCUGACAUUACCCUGGAUACCGUGGCUCUUGAUGCAUCACAAAGACUUGCUGUCUUGGUCACAGAUGCACCAGCAAGACGUGCACCAACAAUUUGUCCUCUUUUGAGCUCUGGUAUGUCAC